This 484-nucleotide ribosomal RNA is filed under the name uncultured bacterium. RNAcentral describes it as "partial 16S ribosomal RNA". It matches the Rfam family "Bacterial small subunit ribosomal RNA", at positions 30 to 507 of the family's 1533-position model. The record is from RNAcentral.
AUUGAACGCUGGCCGCAGGCCUAACACAUGCCAGUCGAGCGGAUGAAGGGAGCUUGCUCCUGGAUUCAGCGGCGGACGGGUGAGUAAUGCCUAGGAAUCUGCCUGGUAGUGGGGGAUAACGUCCGGAAACGGGCGCUAAUACCGCAUACGUCCUGAGGGAGAAAGUGGGGGAUCUUCGGACCUCACGCUAUCAGAUGAGCCUAGGUCGGAUUAGCUAGUUGGUGGGGUAAAGGCCUACCAAGGCGACGAUCCGUAACUGGUCUGAGAGGAUGAUCAGUCACACUGGAACUGAGACACGGUCCAGACUCCUACGGGAGGCAGCAGUGGGGAAUAUUGGACAAUGGGCGAAAGCCUGAUCCAGCCAUGCCGCGUGUGUGAAGAAGGUCUUCGGAUUGUAAAGCACUUUAAGUUGGGAGGAAGGGCAGUAAGUUAAUACCUUGCUGUUUUGACGUUACCAACAGAAUAAGCACCGGCUAACUUCGUG